UUCAAAGUUUUACUGUCUCAGUUGAACAACAAUCGUAAAAAGUUCUAAAAAUGAAAUUCCUCAACGCAAUCGCUGUCGCCAUUUUUGUUCUGAUUGCCGUCGCUGAACCGGACCCAAGAGUGGUAUAUAGAAAGGGCAAGUAAAAUGUAACAACAUUUUACGAUCAUCCCAGAAUCGCAACAGAGCAUCAGGACUUCAGGUAAAACUACCAACGAAUGUUGCCUCGUGAAAACUUGUGUAACGUGAAGAACAAUUUUCCAACCUUUAAUAUUACGAAUGGUUCUGAGUUGUUUCAAAGUUUCUGUUAAAUAAAUUCAUGGAUUGAUCGGAAAAA
Long non-coding RNA from Uranotaenia lowii, 334 nucleotides. RefSeq lists it as uncharacterized. The transcript has 2 exons. The record is from RefSeq and is a predicted model, not a curated record. NCBI's taxonomy places the organism in Eukaryota, Metazoa, Arthropoda, Insecta, Diptera, Culicidae.